This 82-nucleotide transfer RNA is filed under the name Auriculariales sp. MPI-PUGE-AT-0066. It matches the Rfam family "tRNA". Rfam says of the family: Transfer RNA (tRNA) molecules are approximately 80 nucleotides in length. The record is from Rfam by way of RNAcentral. Lineage: Eukaryota; Fungi; Basidiomycota; Agaricomycetes; Auriculariales.
GGCUGUGUAGUGUAGUGGUUAUCACUGAGGAUUCUGAUGAAUCAAAUUUCCUUCAACCCUGGUUCGAAUCCAGGCACGGUCA